RNAcentral lists this ribosomal RNA (495 nucleotides) under uncultured bacterium. Its description in RNAcentral is "partial 16S ribosomal RNA". It matches the Rfam family "Bacterial small subunit ribosomal RNA", at positions 28 to 507 of the family's 1533-position model. The record is from RNAcentral.
GACGAACGCUGGCGGCGUGCCUAAUACAUGCAAGUAGAACGCUGAAGGAGGAGCUUGCUUCUCUGGAUGAGUUGCGAACGGGUGAGUAACGCGUAGGUAACCUGCCUGGUAGCGGGGGAUAACUAUUGGAAACGAUAGCUAAUACCGCAUAACAGUAGAUAUCGCAUGAUAUCUACUUGAAAGGUGCAAUUGCAUCACUACCAGAUGGACCUGCGUUGUAUUAGCUAGUUGGUGAGGUAACGGCUCACCAAGGCGACGAUACAUAGCCGACCUGAGAGGGUGAUCGGCCACACUGGGACUGAGACACGGCCCAGACUCCUACGGGAGGCAGCAGUAGGGAAUCUUCGGCAAUGGACGGAAGUCUGACCGAGCAACGCCGCGUGAGUGAAGAAGGUUUUCGGAUCGUAAAGCUCUGUUGUAAGAGAAGAACGAGUGUGAGAGUGGAAAGUUCACACUGUGACGGUAUCUUACCAGAAAGGGACGGCUAACUACGUG